RNAcentral lists this microRNA (22 nucleotides) under Homo sapiens (human). RNAcentral describes it as "hsa-miR-6516-3p". RNAcentral also lists the same sequence under 1 other name. Lineage: Eukaryota; Metazoa; Chordata; Mammalia; Primates; Hominidae. The record is from miRBase by way of RNAcentral.
AUCAUGUAUGAUACUGCAAACA